CCGUGGGGGCGUGCUAUAAUGCAAGUCGAGCGGACAGAAGGGAGCUUGCUCCCGGAUGUUAGCGGCGGACGGGUGAGUAACACGUGGGUAACCUGCCUGUAAGACUGGGAUAACUCCGGGAAACCGGAGCUAAUACCGGAUAGUUCCUUGAACCGCAUGGUUCAAGGAUGAAAGACGGUUUCGGCUGUCACUUACAGAUGGACCCGCGGCGCAUUAGCUAGUUGGUGAGGUAACGGCUCACCAAGGCGACGAUGCGUAGCCGACCUGAGAGGGUGAUCGGCCACACUGGGACUGAGACACGGCCCAGACUCCUACGGGAGGCAGCAGUAGGGAAUCUUCCGCAAUGGACGAAAGUCUGACGGAGCAACGCCGCGUGAGUGAUGAAGGUUUUCGGAUCGUAAAGCUCUGUUGUUAGGGAAGAACAAGUGCAAGAGUAACUGCUUGCACCUUGACGGUACCUAACCAGAAAGCCACGGCUAACUACGUGCCAGCAGCCGCGGUAAUACGUAGGUGGCAAGCGUUGUCCGGAAUUAUUGGGCGUAAAGGGCUCGCAGGCGGUUUCUUAAGUCUGAUGUGAAAGCCCCCGGCUCAACCGGGGAGGGUCAUUGGAAACUGGGAAACUUGAGUGCAGAAGAGGAGAGUGGAAUUCCACGUGUAGCGGUGAAAUGCGUAGAGAUGUGGAGGAACACCAGUGGCGAAGGCGACUCUCUGGUCUGUAACUGACGCUGAGGAGCGAAAGCGUGGGGAGCGAACAGGAUUAGAUACCCUGGUAGUCCACGCCGUAAACGAUGAGUGCUAAGUGUUAGGGGGUUUCCGCCCCUUAGUGCUGCAGCUAACGCAUUAAGCACUCCGCCUGGGGAGUACGGUCGCAAGACUGAAACUCAAAGGAAUUGACGGGGGCCCGCACAAGCGGUGGAGCAUGUGGUUUAAUUCGAAGCAACGCGAGAACCUUACCAGUCUUGACAUCCUCUGACAACCCUAGAGAUAGGGCUUUCCCUUUCGGGACAGAGUGACAGAUGUGCAUGAUGUCGUCAGCUCGUGUCGUGAGAUGGUGGGUAGUCCCGCAACGAGCGCAAACCCUUGAUCUAGUUGCCAGCAAUUC
RNAcentral lists this ribosomal RNA (1102 nucleotides) under Bacillus pumilus. RNAcentral's name for it is "bacterial SSU rRNA". It matches the Rfam family "Bacterial small subunit ribosomal RNA", at positions 34 to 1127 of the family's 1533-position model. The record is from RNAcentral. Lineage: Bacteria; Bacillati; Bacillota; Bacilli; Caryophanales; Bacillaceae.